AAUUAAUGAGCUUGUUAUUAAGCAUUUGUUUUGAAAACAUAAGAAAGAAUAAUUAUUCUAUUAAUUU
RNAcentral lists this transfer RNA (67 nucleotides) under Precis ceryne. Its description in RNAcentral is "tRNA-Ser". Lineage: Eukaryota; Metazoa; Arthropoda; Insecta; Lepidoptera; Nymphalidae. The record is from RNAcentral.